GUAGGUGGCAAGCGUUGUCCGGAAUUAUUGGGCGUAAAGCGCGCGCAGGCGGUUCGUUUAAGUCUGAUGUGAAAGCCCACGGGCUCAACCGUGGAGGGUCAUUGGAAACUGGAGAACUUGAGUACAGAAGAGGAAAGCGGAAUUCCACGUGUAGCGGUGAAAUGCGUAGAGAUGUGGAGGAACACCAGUGGCGAAGGCGGCCUUCUGGUCUGUAACUGACGCUGAGGCGCGAAAGCGUGGGGAGCAAACAGGAUUAGAUACCCUGGUAGUCCACGCCGUAAACGAUGAGUGCUAAGUGUUAGGGGGUUUCCGCCCCCUUAGUGCUGCAGCUAACGCAUUAAGCACUCCGCCUGGGGAGUACGGCCGCAAGGCUG
This 374-nucleotide ribosomal RNA is filed under the name uncultured organism. RNAcentral's name for it is "partial 16S ribosomal RNA". It matches the Rfam family "Bacterial small subunit ribosomal RNA", at positions 527 to 896 of the family's 1533-position model. The record is from RNAcentral.